UGCCAGCUAGUGGCAAGCCCCAUUCUCUGACCUUCAGACAGGCUUUAUUUGUGCAAGCGAGAUAUCACCAUAGCGCAGAACGGACAACAAUUUGCCUGCAGCGUUAAGUGGCUACAUCCUACAGUUGAGUGACUGUUCAAGUGGACCCUGUAACCCAUCAUUAGAGUCCAGGUCACUAAACCCAAGCUCCAGUGUAAGACUGACAACUGAAAACACAGAAAUCAACUAACGUAAGAAAUAAUGCAUACAUGUAGAAAUCUGAAGGUAAAGGUGGAAAGAACGUCAUAAUUCUCAGACAUUUCAUCUUCUUUAGCCUUAAGUCUUUUUAAUUCAUGCCUUCAAAUAAAGGACUUCAUAUACAAGUAUGUUUCCCCCUUUGACGGUCUGCUGAAUUCAAAACCUACACAGAGUAUUCAAUGGUAAGUGUAUUUUGAAU
Molecule: long non-coding RNA, 436 nt
Organism: Mesocricetus auratus (golden hamster)
Lineage: Eukaryota; Metazoa; Chordata; Mammalia; Rodentia; Cricetidae
Exons: 3
Source: RefSeq, a predicted model, not a curated record